This 504-nucleotide ribosomal RNA is filed under the name uncultured bacterium. RNAcentral describes it as "partial 16S ribosomal RNA". It matches the Rfam family "Bacterial small subunit ribosomal RNA", at positions 30 to 523 of the family's 1533-position model. The record is from RNAcentral.
AUUGAACGCUGGCGGCACGCCUAACACAUGCAAGUCGAGCGGUAACAUGUUUAGUAGCAAUACUAGAUGAUGACGAGCGGCGGGCGGGUGAGGAACACGUAGGAACUUGCCCUCUAGCGGGGGACAACCAAGGGAAACUUCGGCUAAUACCGCAUAUUCUCGAGAGAGGAAAGCUGCCCGCAAGGGUGGCACUAGAGGAGAGGCCUGCGUCCGAUUAGCUUGUUGGUGAGGUAAUGGCUCACCAAGGCGAUGAUCGGUAACUGGUCUGAGAGGACGACCAGUCACACUGGGACUGAGACACGGCCCAGACUCCUACGGGAGGCAGCAGUGGGGAAUAUUGGACAAUGGGGGCAACCCUGAUCCAGCGAUGCCGCGUGGGUGAAGAAGGCCUUCGGGUUGUAAAGCCCUUUAGGUUGGGAAGAAGGAUGUUGGGUGAAUACCCCGACAUUUUGACGGUACCGACAGAAUAAGCACCGGCAAACUCUGUGCCAGCCGCCGCAGUAA